This 271-nucleotide long non-coding RNA is filed under the name Danio rerio (zebrafish). RNAcentral's name for it is "lncRNA (ENSDARG00000117601.1)". The record is from RNAcentral. Lineage: Eukaryota; Metazoa; Chordata; Actinopteri; Cypriniformes; Danionidae.
UGUAAAUCUUUCAAGAAAUAAUUUACUUUUGUUUUUUACUUCAUCAAAAUGUCCCUGCAGCGACGACACACUCUUCUUCAAAUGUGUCUCCAACAUCAACCUUAUCAACACCGCCUGCCAGUACAAAUGAGACUCAAGCAACACCUACAACACCCUCUACCAGUACAAGCACUACAACUGAGUCUCAAACAACAACACAUAUGAGUAAGUACUGUAACAUGUACAGUUGAAUCAUUGUAUUGUUGAUGUAUACUGACAUAAUCAACAUUUC